UACGUAGGGUGCGAGCGUUGUCCGGAAUUAUUGGGCGUAAAGAGCUCGUAGGCGGUUUGUCGCGUCGACUGUGAAAACCCGAGGCUUAACCUCGGGCCUGCAGUCGAUACGGGCAGACUAGAGUUCGGUAGGGGAGACUGGAAUUCCUGGUGUAGCGGUGAAAUGCGCAGAUAUCAGGAGGAACACCGGUGGCGAAGGCGGGUCUCUGGGCCGUAACUGACGCUGAGGAGCGAAAGCAUGGGGAGCGAACAGG
This 253-nucleotide ribosomal RNA is filed under the name uncultured bacterium. Its description in RNAcentral is "partial 16S ribosomal RNA". It matches the Rfam family "Bacterial small subunit ribosomal RNA", at positions 524 to 776 of the family's 1533-position model. The record is from RNAcentral.